This 285-nucleotide ribosomal RNA is filed under the name uncultured bacterium. RNAcentral describes it as "partial 16S ribosomal RNA". It matches the Rfam family "Bacterial small subunit ribosomal RNA", at positions 29 to 295 of the family's 1533-position model. The record is from RNAcentral.
AGCGAACGUUAGCGGCAGGCUUAACACAUGCAAGUCGAGCGCGAAUGGAGGAGCAAUCCUCCUAGUAGAGCGGCGGACGGGUGAGUAACACGUGGGUAAUCUGCCCUUCGGCGGGGGACAACCAUUCGAAAGGAUGGCUAAUACCGCAUACGUCAGCUUGGUCUGCGGAUCGAGUUGGGAAAGCUAGCUUCCGCAAGGGAGCCGGCACCGAAGGAGGAGCCCGCGUCGCAUCAGCUAGUUGGUGAGGUAAUGGCUCACCAAGGCUUAGACGCGUAGCUGGUCUGA